UACAGAGGUCUCAAGCGUUGUUCGGAUUCAUUGGGCGUAAAGGGUGCGUAGGCGGCGCGGUAAGUCGGAUGUGAAAUCUCGGAGCUUAACUCCGAAACUGCAUUCGAUACUGCCGUGCUUGAGGACUGGAGAGGAGACUGGAAUUUACGGUGUAGCGGUGAAAUGCGUAGAUAUCGGCAGGAACACCCAGGGGGAAACCAGUCGACUGGGCAUCUACUGACGCUGAGGUGCGAGAGCGUGGGGAGCGAACCGG
This 253-nucleotide ribosomal RNA is filed under the name uncultured bacterium. RNAcentral's name for it is "partial 16S ribosomal RNA". It matches the Rfam family "Bacterial small subunit ribosomal RNA", at positions 524 to 776 of the family's 1533-position model. The record is from RNAcentral.